CCUACGGGAGGCAGCAGUAGGGAAUUUUGCGCAAUGGGCGAAAGCCUGACGCAGCAACACCGCGUGAAUGUUAAGCCCUUCGGGGUGUAAAGUUCUGUCAUUAGGGACGAUUUUUGACUGUACGUAUAAAUGAAUCACCGUCUAACUCCGUGCCAGCAGCCGUGGUAACAUGGGGGGUGCAGGCGUUGUCCGGAAUCAUUGGGCGUUAAGGGUUCGUAGGCGGCAUGGUAAGUGUGAUGUUAAAGCCCGGGGCUCAACCCCGGUUCGGCAUUGGAAACUGUCUAGCUUGAAUGUGGUAGAGGUAGAGGGAAUUCGUGGUGUAGCGGUGAAAUGCGUAGAUAUCACGAGGAACACCGAUGGCGAAGGCACUUUACUGGAGCAUUAUUGACGCUGAGGAACGAAAGCGAGGGGAGCGAAUGGGAUUAGAUACCCCUGUAGUC
Molecule: ribosomal RNA, 440 nt
Filed under: uncultured bacterium
Lineage: Bacteria
Description: partial 16S ribosomal RNA
Rfam family: Bacterial small subunit ribosomal RNA
Source: RNAcentral